RNAcentral lists this ribosomal RNA (329 nucleotides) under uncultured eukaryote. Its description in RNAcentral is "partial 18S ribosomal RNA". It matches the Rfam family "Eukaryotic small subunit ribosomal RNA", at positions 1470 to 1796 of the family's 1831-position model. The record is from RNAcentral.
CCCUUAGAUGUCCUGGGCCGCACGCGCGUUACACUGAUGCAUUCAACGAGCUUAUAACCUUGGCCGAGAGGCCUGGGCAAUCUUGUUAACGUGCAUCGUGAUAGGGAUAGAUUAUUGAAAUUAUUAAUCUUCAACGAGGAAUGCCUAGUAAACGCAAGUCAUCAGCUUGCAUUGAUUACGUCCCUGCCCUUUGUACACACCGCCCGUCGCUCCUACCGAUUGAAUGAUCCGAUGAAUAUCAUGGAUUGAGGAUGCAAGUAGGUUCGCCUAUCUUCAUCUUCGAGAAGUGAAGUAAAUCUUAUCAUUUAGAGGAAGGAGAAGGCGUAACA